CUCGCAGUUGCACUAGCUGGACCGGGAGGACGAGGGGAGGCAGAUGGGCGGUGCCCCGCGCGGGGACUGCGGUAGGUGCGGCUCAGCGCCACCGCCAGCCUCGCCGGGUUGCGGUGCGGCUGCUGCGCCAGCUCGAGGGCCUUCCGAACGGGCCGCCGCCUCUUCUCCGUCCCCGUGGUGGCGCGACCCGCGGGGACGAGGCCCGUCUGCGCGCGGCUGCGGCAGGACCCACUGACCACACAAUGAGUCCCCAACUCUCCGACUCGGGGCGGCCAGCUGUGGUUCCCGCCAGAGCGUUCAAAGACCUCACGCGAGAGUAGGAAAUGUCGCUGGGGACGGAGAGUGACGGGAAGGCGAGAAAGCGGAACCGGCCCCCAGGUUCCGCGCUGCGCAGAAACCGAGACAGCCCUCUUCCGGCUCCAAGUGGGAUAUCUGCGGAUGCGGAGGUGAGGCCGGAAGUGGAGUUGCCCCUAGGGCAUGUGGGGCGAGCAGAAUCGCGGAUCCAAGGGCUAGACGCCAGGUUCACGGAGCUGGGCUGGAGGUCAAGGAUGCAUUCCAAGAAAGUACUGAAACAUAUAUCACCAGCCCCCACCUGAUAGUUGACCUAGCCAUGGAAAACUUCAUUGGAGCCUCACUAAAUCAGACCAUAACUGGCACUCUUAAAAACUCUCCCAUCAAAAAGUAUCAGGACUGACAAUCUAAGACAAUCUAAGACAGGGGUCCUCAAACUUUUUAAACUUUUUUUCACUGUCCCUCAGACCGUUGGAGGGCCAGACUAUAGUUUAAAAAAAAACUAUGAACAAAUUCCUAUGCACACUGCACAUAUCUUAUUUUGAAGUAAAAAAACAAAACGGAAACAAAUACAAUAUUUGUAUUUGCAUGUGGCCCGCGGGCCGUAGUUUGAGGACCCCUGAUCUAAGAUAUAGAUCUACCACUUCAAGAAAGUUCCUGUACCAGUCAGCAGUCUAACAGAUCAGCUAGUUUCUUUGGUCAUCAAGCAGACAUGCUCAAGCUACCAACACAACAGUGGAAAAUGUCUCUAUAUGAAUGUUUUGCACAUUAUGUGUGUGACCCAUUAGAUUCACAGUGGUUCUCAACCUGUGGGUCGAGACCCCUUUGGGGGUCGAAUGACCCUUUCACAGGAGUCGCCUAAGACUAUCCUGCAUAGCAGAUAUUUACAUUACGAUUCAUAACAGUAGCAAAAUUACAGUUAUGAAGUAGAAACAAAAAUAAUUUUAUGGUUGGGUCACAACAUGAGGAACUGUAUUUAAAGGGCCAGAAGGUUGAGAACCACUGGAUUAGAAGGUCAUGAAAUCCAUUCUGUGAGUCAUGAUGAAUAUUUUUUAAAGACAAAAAAGUUAUAAAUUAUCAGAGUAUUUUCCAUAAAUCCUUUGUGAGAAUUGUGCACAUUGCAAGAAAUACUAAGGUCAGUUUCAAUAUGUGAAAAGAUAUUUGAUGGAGGGGAUAUGAUGAAUAGAAUGUAUAUUGGCUAAAAAAUGGUUUUGUCAGUCAUUUGUCCACUGGUGUCUUGUUUGGUUUUCAUAAUAAGGUUGAUGUGCAGUCUAGCUUUAUAUUACCAUGACUUGUAACUAGAUGUGAAGUCAUUGAGAUUCAGUUGAAAACUGCAUUGUUAAAGGUGUUAUCUAGGCUACAGAUGUAUACAUAUAUAUCUUUGAGUUUGUGACAAUUACAAUGUUUUAAUCAAAAUUGCUUUUUAAAAUGGAUCAUUUCUUUUUUAAAAGAAAGAGAAUAAUGAAGUGAAAUAUGCAGAAGCAUGUUCAGGUUCAAAUGUUGGAUCUGAAAGUGUGAAUAACGAUGCUAUUGAGAAAAAUAUUUAUUCUAAUCUGAAAACUUCAACUUUAUUUGAGCCACAUUUCAAAAAGAAAAAAGUAAGUGCAAGACAAUAUAAUGAAGAUGAUUUAAAAUAUGGUUUUAUCAAAUGUGAAAAACCCUUUGAAAAUGACAGACCUCAAUGUUAUUUGUAACAAUAUUCUUGCAAAUGAAAGCUUAAAACCUUCCAAAUUAAAAAGGCACUUAGAAACUCAGCAUGCUGAACUUACUGAUAAACCUCUUGAAUAUUUUCAAAGAAAGAAAAAAGAUGUAAAGUAUCAACACAAUUUCUCAGUUGUUCUACUUCUGUCAGUGAGAAAGCCUUAUUAUCAUCAUAUUUGGUUGCAUAUCGUGUGGCAAAUGAGAAAAUGGUUCACACAGCUGCUGAAAAGAUUAUCCUUCCAGCAUGUUUGGAUAUGGUACGUACAAUUUUUAUGAUAAAUCAGCUGAUAAAUUAAAAACUAUUCCUAGUGAUAACACAAUAUUUCUUCGAAUUUGUGCUAUUGCAGAACAUUUAGAAACAAUCUUAUGUCUCGGUUGCAGUCUGGUGUAGAUUUUGCAAUCCAGCUUGAGAGCACUGACGUUGGGAGUUGUAGAACACUUUUAGUUUAUGUCAGAUACGAGUGUCAAGGUGAUUUCAUGGAGGAUUUUUUGUGUUGUUUACAUUUUACUUCAGACCUAAGUGGAUUAGACAUUUUUAAAGAGUUAGAAAAGUGCAUUGUUGGUCAAUAUAAAUUAAACUGGAAAAACUGCAGAGGAAUUAUAAGUGACAAACAGCAAACAUAACUGGAAAACAGAGUCAUUAAAAAAUUGCUAGAAGUUACUAAUAAUGGUGCUGUGUGGAAUCAUUGUUUUAUACACCGUGAAGCUUUGGCAUCCAGAGAAAUUCCACAGAAUCUCAUGGAAGUAUUGAAAGUGCAGUGAAAGUUGUUAAUUUCAUUAAAGGAAGCUCACUAAGCAGCCAAUUUCUUGAAACAUUUUGUUCAGUGAUUGAACUAAUCAUACCCACUUACUGUAUCACACCAAAGUUCGGCGGUUGUCUCAAGGGGAAAUACUAAGCAAGGUUUACAAACUUAGGAAUGAGAUUCACAUUUUUCUCAUUGAAAAAAAAAUCUUAUUUGGCAAGUAUUUUUGAAGAUGCCAUUUGGGUAAUGAAAUUGGCAAAUUUUUACUGAUAUUCUUGGCAUUCUUAAUGAACUAAGUUUAAAACUACAGGGGAAAAACAGUGAUAUAUCCCAACAUGUUGAAGGUAUCCAGGAUUCCAAAAGACAUUAUUGUUAUGGCAAGCAAGGCUUAAAAGCGACCGGCCUAGCUACUACAUGUUUCCAAGAUUUUUGCAACAUAUUGAAAAGAAUAUUAUUAAUGAAACCAACUUUAAAGAAAUAAAAUUAGAAAUAUUGUUACAUCUCCCCUCUUUAUCUCAAACUUUUAAUCAUUUAUUUCCAGAAGAGAAACUUGAAACAUUAAGAGAAAACUGUUGGGUAAAAGAUCCAUUUGCUUUUCGAAACCCAGAAUCAAUAGUUGAGUUAAACUUACUGCCUGAAGAAGAGAGUGAAUUAAUGCAGCUCAGCUCCUCAUAUACAUUGAAGAAUGAUUAUGAAACAUUAAGUUUAUCAGUAUUUUGGGUUAAAAUAAAGGAAGUCUUUCCUUUGCUCAGUAGAAAGAGUACUCUACUAUUAUUACCAUUCACAACAACUAGUUUAUGUGAACUAGGGUUUUCAGUCUUAACCCAGUUAAAAAUGAAGAAAAGAAAUGGAUUGAAUGGUGCAGCAGGUAUGCAGGUAGCAUUGUCCUCCUGUGUUCCAGACUGGAAUGAACAAGCAAGCACACCCAUCACAUUAAAUUAAUCUCACCUGGUUUUGGGUUUUGUGUUUCCCAUUUUGUAUUUUUCCAUGUUGUAUUUAAAUGUUAAUAUAUAAUUUUAUGUGAUAACUUUGUUAUUUUCUAUUUUUGUUAUGCUUAAAUAUUAAUAAAAAAUGUGAUUUUAUAUUCAUUGAACAAACAUUUAAUGAACUUCUAUUAGAGGCCAGGAACUAUUCUAGAGACAUUUGGGAUACAGUAGAGCUAAUGUUCUGGCAAGGAGAGAGACAAUAGGUAUAAAUGGGCUUUAUAAUAUUUAGAAGAUACAAGUGCUAUGGGAAGAAGAAUAAGAAAAGGGGGUCAGGAAACUAUUUGGGGACCAAAUCACAAAGGGCUCUACCAUUAUAGGGCCUCUGGGAUUUUUUUAAGUGGAAUGGAGAGCGAUUGAAGGAUAACCUAGAGGAGAGACAUGGUCUGAAUUAGGUUUUAGAAGACUCACUCUGCUGUUUUGAGAGUGAAUGAAAUGUUCCUUCCCUCAAGAGGGCUUUCCUAACCACCUUAGUUUGGGUAAAUUGUCCAUAUUCUCCCUUUUAUUUCUUUGUAGUAUAUAAUUUGUGAUAUUUUUUCUUACUUGAUUACUAACUAGUUCUGUCAGUCUGCCACCCUGGAAUGAAUACUCCUUAUGAAAAGAGAUCCUAUCCAUCUUGUAUGAUGCAGAGUGAGUAUUGAGUAUACAUUUGAGGAGCAAAUGAAUUGAUAUCUAACAUCUGUAACUUGAGGUCAUAUUCCCAGAAAUAAGCAUUAAAUAUGUGGAAAUUUC
Molecule: long non-coding RNA, 4450 nt
Organism: Myotis lucifugus (little brown bat)
Lineage: Eukaryota; Metazoa; Chordata; Mammalia; Chiroptera; Vespertilionidae
Exons: 2
Source: RefSeq, a predicted model, not a curated record